Mus musculus (house mouse) is the source of this 3125-nucleotide long non-coding RNA. RefSeq annotates it as predicted gene, 51500. The record is from RefSeq and is a predicted model, not a curated record. The transcript has 3 exons. Lineage: Eukaryota; Metazoa; Chordata; Mammalia; Rodentia; Muridae.
UUAAAAGAUGUGUGAGGGGCUGGCAUCCUCGAUGGGGCUGUGCAUGUUCCCAGUCUUGUUGGUUGGAAGGCUGAGUUAUCAGGACAUCCUUCCGGCCUUCUACCAGAAGGUAGCAACAGGUUUUAACUACCCCAAGUCUACUUCUUCUAUAUUACCAUACUUCUCAGAAAGAGACAGAUCCUUUUCUACUAAUGUUUGCUAUUUUACUAGCCAGCAGAGAAGCAGCAGAGGAGAAGAGAAGACCUGAAUGCCAGGUCUCCGAAUCAGAAAGAAUGAUGAAGCCAUUACAGAACCUCCUGCAAGGACCAAACGGUUAUUCCUGGGCUGUGGGGAGCAGAUGGGGACUCUUGGUCAUCAUGAGCUGGGAUCAACGUAGCUCUUGCCUCUCAUCAAAGACAUUCUUUGCAACAGAUGGGGACCAUUACAGAAACCAUGACUGGUCAAAAAGCUGACUACAAGCAAUCAUAGGGCCAUCAGACCCUGUACCCUGUACCCUGUACCCUGUACCCUGUACCCUGAGAUCAGGGAACAUUUCAGAAGAGGGGACAGGAAGAUGUUAAGGGUCAGAGGACCAGAAAACCAUCAGUGAGACUAUGACUCCUAGAAGCAUCAGGGAAGCUACAUCCAUGGUACCUCAAUAAUGUGGCUGCUUAGCUAAGACCUGAACAAGGUUGAUAACAGUUAACAUGCUGACAAGAAAUGGGGAAUCUCAAGGGGAUCCAUCUCUAGACCAAGAACUAUGGGCAACUAAGGGAUGCUGAGCAUGACAAUAGUCUUCUCCAGGCAAGAUUAUACAUACCAAACACAAAACCCCAGACCAGAAAACCCAACAACUACAACCAAACUCCAAACUCACAUAUUCACUGAGCAGAAAUGACAUCACUGUAAAGAGCUACUCAACAGCUCCUGGAAAAUAAGAUGCUGGGAGCUUCCAACUGACAUUUUAUUUGCAGACUGAGAUGGAAGCCACAGCACAGCAGAUCUGCUUCCCGCAGGAUAGCCUGAUCACUCCAGAUCAGAGGGAGGCAUGGACGGAGCCCAUUCUGUCACCUGAUGCUAUAUUGGCUGGACACCAAGAACACUGGCUCAGAGGAUGGACCAGACCUUAGUGAAGACCAUGGGAACCGCAUCUUUAUAUUCUUGCAAGAACAGCAGUGACUUCACCAGAACCAAUGCUGACCCAGUCAAUGGGCCUGCUAGAUGGGCUACUGAAGGCUAAGGAAGAUGCAGGCUACGGUGAAGACUCUAGCAUGUCCUCGCCUCGGUAGUACAUGGUCGUGGUUAAUAGAAAGCACCUAGGGCACAGAAGAAUCCAUCUGCUGAACAUAAUUGUUCAUGGAGCUAAACAUGUGAGCUCUGACCAAUGUUCCUCACUGGAACCUAAUUAAAGUGGGGAUCUAAUUCCCCAGGAAUUUGAAUAGAGGGACACUAAGUGAGUUGUGGUGAGUUAAAUCAUACACAGGAAGCUUCUGGAUGCUGCCACCGUCUCACUUCUACACAGAAUAGCUGUUCCUUCCAGAAGUGAGGUCCUGGAAGCCAAGGACCCAGUGGCAAGGAACACAGUGUUCAGAGGCUCCCAUUGGUUCGGCAGAGGCUCUGUCUGUGUCAGAUGAGCAGCUUAACAUUCGGUUAAAUGGAAAAGCUUCUGCGUGUGGGGCUCUCCAGGGCUGGGUGCUGACAGACAUGAACCGGUGCUGUGCUUAAUGAGGGACAAUUUAUACGCCUCAUGUAAUAGACUCCUUUCUGCUGUGGUAGCAGACACACCUGCACAUACCAUGCUUCUCAGGAGAAAGGAGCUUCGCGUCAGACCUGCUAGGUAAGGCAGCCAUAACAGAACUCUGAACCCCCAGCUAUGGCAAAAAUCAGUGCACAUCUCGUCCUGGUCCCGCUAGUUGUCUCUUGCAUGGGUUCCCACCAGGGAGUACAGGAAUGGUGAGAGACUCUCUAUUUCAUCCCCAAGUCCCGAGAGCUUGAGGCCCUAAAGCUCGCUGGCACCUGGUGAAGGGCAAAGGACUGGGCUUGGAGCCAGGAGCUUGGGCCUCUGUCCUCCCUGACCUGCAGUCUUCUCACUUAUCAGAGGGAGCUGAGUGUGUCUGCAUUCUCAGGGCUGUGACAAGCAGCAUGAGAAAGACGCCAGAGUUCUUUGUUCAGUGGAGUGAGGUCUAGUUGGGGUGAUGGGGUUUUGGUUAUACGUUCUAGAACUGUUAGAUUGUACAUGGUUUUUUUGGCAUACCUCCAGGAAAAGCUCCACUGGGAAGACCCUCUGCAUUUGCAAAGCAAGUUUCUCUCAUCUCCUCGCUCUCCAUGGAGUGCAUACAGAAUAGCAACAGGCUUGGCCUUUUCAUCCUGGGUGUUUACUCAACUCCUACUUUCAGUUUUUGUAAGUUUUUCUACUGAUUGUAUCGAGUCCAUUCUUGUAAGUGGUUGUAAUCCUGCUUAUAAAGUUGUGGUGAAAAAAAAAAAAAACAGGCGUGAUGGUGCAUACCUUUAAUCCCAGCACUUGGGAGGCAGAGGCAGGUGGAUUUCUGAGUUCGAGGCCAGCCUGGUCUACAAAGUGAGUUCCAGGAAAGCCAGGGCUAUACAGAGAAACCCUGUCUCAACAAACAAACAAACAAACAAAAAACAACAAAAAACAAAACAAAACAAAACAAACAAACAAACAAAAAAGAUGUGGUGCACACAGAAAAGGAAAAUGGAGGAUGGACAAAUGCUAAAUUUGAUAAAAUGAUGAUGGUCAUACAGGUUUUCCUCUAGAGCUUUAGUCAUUAAAAUAGGAAACAAAUGAUUGUGUAGUAAUUGCCACUUAUCCAUUCAUCUACAUAUGCAAUUAUUAUCUGCCGCCCACCCAUCCAUCAUCCAUCUACCUAUCUACCAACCUGUCAGUCUAACUAUCCAUUCAUUCCCCUAUCCACCACCCAACCAUCCACAAAUCUCCAACCCACCCAUCUUUUCACCAUCACUCCAACCCCCUAUCCAUCUAUUCAUCUACCCACCUAUCUACUCACCCACUCACCAUCUACCCCAUCCCUACCUGCUCACUUUCUCCCUACUCACCCAACUACCCAUCUAUGCAUCAGUUUAUAUCUAUGCACUUACCCCCAACCCAUCAAUCUGCUCACCAACAC